Molecule: small RNA, 716 nt
Filed under: Pan troglodytes (chimpanzee)
Lineage: Eukaryota; Metazoa; Chordata; Mammalia; Primates; Hominidae
Description: retained intron
Source: RNAcentral
AGGAAAUGCUGGCACCUGGGCCCAGAAGCCAGGGCCUCUAACUCCUGGGGUUGAUUUCUUCAGUGAAGUUGUACCCUACAAAGGGAAUAUGGCCAAAGCGGCACUCAACUGAAGGCUGAUAUCAGGCGAUUAGACAGCCAUGCAUUCUGCGUUUGUCUGGAAUGGAUUGUAGAGAGAUGGACUUAUAUGAGGACUACCAGUCCCCGUUUGAUUUUGAUGCAGGAGUGAACAAAAGCUAUCUCUACUUGUCUCCUAGUGGAAAUUCAUCUCCACCCGGAUCACCUACUCUUCAGAAAUUUGGUCUGCUGAGAACAGACCCAGUCCCUGAGGAAGGAGAAGAUGUUGCUGCCACGAUCAGUGCCACAGAGACCCUCUCGGAAGAGGAGCAGGAAGAGCUAAGAAGAGAACUUGCAAAGGUAGAAGAAGAAAUCCAGACUCUGUCUCAAGUGUUAGCAGCAAAAGAGAAGCAUCUAGCAGAGAUCAAGCGGAAACUUGGAAUCAAUUCUCUACAGGAACUAAAACAGAACAUUGCCAAAGGGUGGCAAGACGUGACAGCAACAUCUGCUUACAAGAAGACAUCUGAAACCUUAUCCCAGGCUGGACAGAAGGCCUCAGCUGCUUUUUCGUCUGUUGGCUCAGUCAUCACCAAAAAGCUGGAAGAUGUAAAGUAUGUCCUCAUUUUUCCUUGCUCAUUAAGUAGCUGACGCAAAUUAAAA